AGCUCUGAUGAAUCCAAAUAUUUCGCUGUGUUCUUUCCGAGUUAAAUCAUUGAAGAAACAUAUAUUUCACCUUGGAGAACUGAGAU
Molecule: small nucleolar RNA, 86 nt
Filed under: Oidiodendron maius Zn
Lineage: Eukaryota; Fungi; Ascomycota; Leotiomycetes; Myxotrichaceae
Description: A. fumigatus snoRNA Afu_294
Rfam family: A. fumigatus snoRNA Afu_294
Source: Rfam by way of RNAcentral